UGGGGAAUAUUGGACAAUGGGCGAAAGCCUGAUCCAGCCAUGCCGCGUGUGUGAAGAAGGCCUUUUGGUUGUAAAGCACUUUAAGUGGGGAGGAAAAGCUUAUGGUUAAUACCCAUAAGCCCUGACGUUACCCACAGAAUAAGCACCGGCUAACUCUGUGCCAGCAGCCGCGGUAAUACAGAGGGUGCAAGCGUUAAUCGGAAUUACUGGGCGUAAAGCGCGCGUAGGUGGUUAUUUAAGUCAGAUGUGGAAGCCCCGGGCUUAACCUGGGAACUGCAUCUGAUACUGGAUAACUAGAGUAGGUGAGAGGGGAGUAGAAUUCCAGGUGUAGCGGUGAAAUGCGUAGAGAUCUGGAGGAAUACCGAUGGCGAAGGCAGCUCCCUGGCAUCAUACUGACACUGAGGUGCGAAAGCGUGGGUAGCAAACAGGAUUAGAUACCCUUGUAGUCCACGCCGUAAACGAUGCCUACCAGUCGUUGGGUCUUUUAAAGACUUAGUGACGCAGUUAACGCAAUAAGUAGACCGCCUGGGGAGUACGGCCGCAAGGUUA
Molecule: ribosomal RNA, 549 nt
Filed under: uncultured bacterium
Lineage: Bacteria
Description: bacterial SSU rRNA
Rfam family: Bacterial small subunit ribosomal RNA
Source: RNAcentral